AACGAACGCUGGCGGCAUGCCUAACACAUGCAAGUCGAACGAAGCCUUCGGGCUUAGUGGCGCACGGGUGCGUAACGCGUGGGAAUCUGCCCCUCGGUUCGGAAUAACAGUUAGAAAUGACUGCUAAUACCGGAUGAUGACGAAAGUCCAAAGAUUUAUCGCCGAGGGAUGAGCCCGCGUAGGAUUAGCUUGUUGGUGGGGUAAUGGCCCACCAAGGCGACGAUCCUUAGCUGGUCUGAGAGGAUGAUCAGCCAUACUGGGACUGAGACACGGCCCAGACUCCUACGGGAGGCAGCAGUGGGGAAUAUUGGACAAUGGGCGAAAGCCUGAUCCAGCAAUGCCGCGUGAGUGAUGAAGGCCUAGGGUUGUAAAGCUCUUUUACCAGGGAUGAUAAUGACAGUACCUGGAGAAUAAGCUCCGGCUAACUCCGUGCCAGCAGCCGCGGUAAU
RNAcentral lists this ribosomal RNA (449 nucleotides) under uncultured bacterium. RNAcentral describes it as "bacterial SSU rRNA". It matches the Rfam family "Bacterial small subunit ribosomal RNA", at positions 29 to 524 of the family's 1533-position model. The record is from RNAcentral.